Cavia aperea (Brazilian guinea pig) is the source of this 107-nucleotide small nuclear RNA. The record is from Ensembl. Lineage: Eukaryota; Metazoa; Chordata; Mammalia; Rodentia; Caviidae.
GUGCUCUCUUUGGCAGUGCCUAUACUAAAAUUGGAAUGAUACGUAGAAGAUUAGCAUGGCCCCUGUGCAAGGAUGACAUACAAACUGGUGAAGAUUCAUGCAUCUUA